AUUGGGGUGGCAGAGCCCGGCCUAUGUACUAAGACUUAAAAUUUUACCACAGAUGUUCAAAUCAUCUCCCCAAUA
Molecule: transfer RNA, 75 nt
Filed under: Amerotyphlops reticulatus (reticulate worm snake)
Lineage: Eukaryota; Metazoa; Chordata; Lepidosauria; Squamata; Typhlopidae
Description: tRNA-Leu
Rfam family: tRNA
About the family: Transfer RNA (tRNA) molecules are approximately 80 nucleotides in length. Their secondary structure includes four short double-helical elements and three loops (D, anti-codon, and T loops). Further hydrogen bonds mediate the characteristic L-shaped molecular structure. tRNAs have two regions of fundamental functional importance: the anti-codon, which is responsible for specific mRNA codon recognition, and the 3' end, to which the tRNAs corresponding amino acid is attached (by aminoacyl-tRNA synthetases). tRNAs cope with the degeneracy of the genetic code in two manners: having more than one tRNA (with a specific anti-codon) for a particular amino acid; and 'wobble' base-pairing, i.e. permitting non-standard base-pairing at the 3rd anti-codon position.
Source: RNAcentral